UACAGAGGUCUCAAGCGUUGUUCGGAUUCAUUGGGCGUAAAGGGUGCGUAGGUGGCCAGGUAAGUCGGAUGUGAAAUCCCGGGGCUCAACCCGGAACUGCAUUCGAUACUGCCCGGCUUGAGUACUGGAGAGGAGAUUGGAAUUUACGGUGUAGCAGUGAAAUGCGUAGAUAUCGUAAGGAAGACCAGUGGCGAAGGCGGAUCUCUGGACAGUUACUGACACUGAGGCACGAAGGCCAGGGGAGCAAACGGG
Molecule: ribosomal RNA, 252 nt
Filed under: uncultured bacterium
Lineage: Bacteria
Description: partial 16S ribosomal RNA
Rfam family: Bacterial small subunit ribosomal RNA
Source: RNAcentral